Molecule: long non-coding RNA, 230 nt
Filed under: Lathyrus oleraceus (garden pea)
Lineage: Eukaryota; Viridiplantae; Streptophyta; Magnoliopsida; Fabales; Fabaceae
Description: Pisum sativum (pea) long non-coding RNA (PSAT_LNC004827)
Source: RNAcentral
AAAAAUCCCCAUUCAAAAAUUCCCAUUAUUUCACAAGUUGGACCAUUUUGCCCCUGGAUCUUUAACUGUACACUUGAAAUUUGACUUUUUGCAUUGACCAUUUUUGAUGAAUUCCAAUUAUGCACCAUGAAAGUACAUGUCAAAUGGAGUUUGUGCAUAAAAAGAUCACUCAAUUUGGACACUCCAUGUGGAAGUUAUGCCCCUCUGAUUAUGGGUCAUUUUUGAAAUUG